Molecule: ribosomal RNA, 484 nt
Filed under: uncultured bacterium
Lineage: Bacteria
Description: partial 16S ribosomal RNA
Rfam family: Bacterial small subunit ribosomal RNA
Source: RNAcentral
GACGAACGCUGGCGGCGUGCUUAACACAUGCAAGUCGAACGAUGAGCCCGGAGCUUGCUCCGGUGGAUUAGUGGCGAACGGGCGAGUAACACGUGAGUAACCUGCCCUUGACUCUGGGAUAACUGCGGGAAACUGUAGCUAAUACCGGAUACGACCCUCGGCGGCAUCGCCAGGGGGUGGAAAGAAUUUCGGUCAAGGAUGGAUUCGCGGCCUAUCAGCUAGUUGGUGAGGUAACGGCUCACCAAGGCGACGACGGGUAGCCGGCCUGAGAGGGUGACCGGCCACACGGGGACUGAGACACGGCCCAGACUCCUACGGGAGGCAGCAGUGGGGAAUAUUGCACAAUGGGCGCAAGCCUGAUGCAGCAACGCCGCGUGAGGGAUGACGGCCUUCGGGUUGUAAACCUCUUUUAGUAGGGAAGAAGCGAAAGUGACGGUACCUGCAGAAAAAGCACCGGCUAACUACGUGCCAGCCGCCGCCGUAA